AUGCGCCGGAAGUUGCGGCCGGGAAGCCAGCGAGGUCGAUUCCGCCCUACUCUAACAUGGCGGCGCCCUUUGUCUCCUGUGAAGUGCCGUCCCUGGCCUUCUCGCGGCCGUGAUGCACCUCCCUCUGCAGUGGGGUCCGGGACAUGGCAGGUAAUGAGCUGGAGGAGGGGAGCCAAGCUGGAGUUUAUGCAGACAGACUGUCAGAAAAGAGUAGCCUGGGCUGUUUGGAAAUCUGAGCCAUGGAUUUCCCCCAGCACAGCCAGCACGUCCUGGAGCAGCUGAACCAGCAGCGGCAGCUGGGGCUGUUGUGUGACUGCACCUUCGUGGUGGACGGGGUUGACUUUAAGGCCCAUAAAGCGGUGCUGGCUGCCUGCAGCGAGUACUUCAAGAUGCUCUUUGUGGACCAGAAGGAUGUGGUGCACCUGGACAUCAGUAAUGCGGCAGGCCUGGGCCAGGUGCUGGAGUUCAUGUACACGGCCAAGCUAAGCCUCAGCCCUGAGAACGUGGAUGAUGUGCUGGCUGUGGCCAGCUUCCUCCAGAUGCAGGAUAUCAUCACAGCCUGCCAUGCCCUCAAGUCACUCGCAGAGCCAGCCACCAACCCUGGGGAAAACAUGGAGGCUGCGACCACGGAAGGAGGAGACAAGAGAGCCAAGGAGGAGAAGGCUGUUGCCACCACGCUGAGUGAGCUGGACCAAGCAGGAAGCAGUCCACCGGCAGGCCCAGGCAGGGAGCCCAAGGAGGAGCGAGGUGGCCAGGCUGAGAGUGCAGCCAGUGGGGCAGAGCAGACGGAGAAGGCUGAUGCCCCCCGGGAGCCACCACCUGUGGAGCUCAAGCCAGACCCCACUAGUGGCAUGGCUGCUGCUGAGGCCGAGGCUGCCUUGUCAGAGAACUCGGAGCAAGAGAUGGAGGUGGAGCCAGCAAGGAAAGGAGAAGACGAGCAAGAGGUGGACAGCACCGGGCCAGCUGCAGUCAAGGAGGAAGGGCCCCAGCUGGAGAAUGGCGAGGACAAUGAGGAGUCAGUGGGUACAGACUCAGGCCAGGAGCUCAGCGUGGAGGCCCGGAGCCUGCGCUCAGGCACCUACGGUGACCGCACCGAGUCCAAGGCUUACGGCUCCGUCAUCCACAAGUGUGAGGACUGUGGGAAGGAGUUCACACACACAGGGAACUUCAAGCGGCACAUCCGCAUCCACACAGGUGAAAAGCCCUUCUCAUGCCAGGAGUGCAGCAAGGCUUUCUCUGACCCGGCCGCGUGCAAGGCCCACGAGAAGACGCACAGCCCGCUGAAGCCAUAUGGCUGUGAGGAAUGCGGUAAGAGCUACCGGCUCAUCAGCCUGCUGAACCUGCACAAGAAGCGGCACUCGGGUGAGGCGCGCUACCGCUGCGAGGACUGCGGCAAGCUCUUCACCACCUCCGGCAACCUCAAGCGGCACCAGCUGGUGCACAGCGGCGAGAAGCCUUAUCAGUGCGACUACUGCGGCCGCUCUUUCUCCGACCCCACCUCCAAGAUGCGCCACCUGGAGACCCAUGACACUGACAAGGAGCACAAGUGCCCACACUGUGACAAGAAAUUUAACCAGGUGGGGAAUCUGAAGGCCCACCUGAAGAUCCACAUCGCGGAUGGGCCCCUCAAGUGCCGAGAGUGUGGGAAGCAGUUCACCACCUCAGGGAACCUCAAGCGGCACCUUCGGAUCCACAGUGGGGAGAAGCCCUACGUGUGUAUCCACUGCCAGCGGCAGUUUGCAGACCCUGGCGCACUGCAGCGGCACGUCCGGAUCCACACGGGUGAGAAGCCCUGCCAGUGUGUGAUGUGUGGCAAGGCCUUCACCCAGGCCAGCUCCCUCAUCGCCCACGUGCGCCAGCACACUGGCGAGAAACCCUACGUCUGUGAGCGCUGUGGCAAGAGAUUUGUCCAGUCCAGCCAGCUGGCCAAUCACAUUCGCCACCAUGACAACAUCCGCCCCCACAAGUGCAGCGUGUGCAGCAAGGCCUUCGUCAACGUGGGGGACCUGUCCAAGCACAUCAUCAUCCACACUGGAGAGAAGCCCUACCUUUGUGACAAGUGUGGCCGCGGCUUUAACCGGGUGGACAACCUUCGUUCCCAUGUGAAGACUGUGCACCAGGGCAAGGCGGGCAUCAAAAUCCUGGAACCAGAGGAGGGUGGAGAGGUCAGCGUGGUUACAGUUGAUGACAUGGUCACGCUGGCCACUGAGGCGCUGGCAGCAACAGCCGUUACUCAGCUCACAGACCCUGCCAAUUCUGCCCACAGUAGUACCGGUGGGAGCCGCAGUGACCGCUGAUGAGACGGAAGCACUUAAAGCUGAGAUCACCAAAGCUGUGAAGCAAGUGCAGGAAGCAGACCCCAACACCCAGAUUCUCUACGCCUGUGACUCCUGUGGGGAGAAGUUCCUGGAUGCCAACAGCCUGGCACAGCACGUGCGGAUCCACACAGCCCAGGCCCUCGUCAUGUUCCAGGCAGACACGGACUUCUACCAGCAGUACGGGCCAGGUGGCACGUGGCCAGCCGGGCAGGUGCUGCAGGCUGGGGAGCUGCUCUUCCGCCCUCGGGAUGGGGCUGAGGGUCCACCUGCCCUGGCAGAGACCCCACCCACAGCCCCCGAAUGUCCACCGCCGGCCGAGUGAGCAGGCACCCCUCCUCCUGACUGUUUAUUUAAAGAUGGAUGGCACCCUAGAACUGAGAGGGGUGGCCUUGCUCCCUAGAGAAUAAAUUUCAUUAUUUUCUAA
Orycteropus afer afer is the source of this 2742-nucleotide non-coding RNA. NCBI's taxonomy places the organism in Eukaryota, Metazoa, Chordata, Mammalia, Tubulidentata, Orycteropodidae. The record is from RefSeq and is a predicted model, not a curated record.